GCUGUCGAUGAUGCUUCUAUUCUACCUACAUUGUUUGAAUAUUCUUAAAUGAGAACAUGAAACACAUCUGAGACACAC
RNAcentral lists this small nucleolar RNA (78 nucleotides) under Lepisosteus oculatus (spotted gar). RNAcentral's name for it is "Small nucleolar RNA SNORD34". It matches the Rfam family "Small nucleolar RNA SNORD34". From Rfam's summary of the family: snoRNA U34 is found in intron 5 of the ribosomal protein L13a gene in humans. U34 is a member of the C/D class of snoRNA which contain C (UGAUGA) and D (CUGA) box motifs, and functions in directing site-specific 2'-O-methylation of 25S rRNAs. Although the selection of the target nucleotide requires the antisense element and the conserved box D or D' of the snoRNA, the methyltransferase activity is thought to reside in one of the protein components. The record is from Rfam by way of RNAcentral. Lineage: Eukaryota; Metazoa; Chordata; Actinopteri; Semionotiformes; Lepisosteidae.